AACGAACGCUGGCGGCAUGCCUAACACAUGCAAGUCGAACGAGACCUUCGGGUCUAGUGGCGCACGGGUGCGUAACGCGUGGGAACCUGCCCUUAGGUUCGGAAUAACUCCCCGAAAGGGGUGCUAAUACCGGAUAAUGUCUUAGGACCAAAGAUUUAUCGCUUUGGGAUGGGCCCGCGUUGGAUUAGCUAGUUGGUAGGGUAAAAGCCUACCAACGCGACGAUCCAUAGCUGGUCUGAGAAGAUGAUCAGCCACACUGGGACUGAGACACGGCCCAGACUCCUACGGGAGGCAGCAGUGGGGAGUAUUGGACAAUGGGCGAAAGCCUGAUCCAGCAAUGCCGCGUGAGUGAUGAAGGCCUUAGGGUUGUAAAGCUCUUUUACCCGGGAUGAUAAUGACAGUACCGGGAGAAUAAGCUCCGGCUAACUCCGUG
This 433-nucleotide ribosomal RNA is filed under the name uncultured bacterium. RNAcentral's name for it is "partial 16S ribosomal RNA". It matches the Rfam family "Bacterial small subunit ribosomal RNA", at positions 29 to 507 of the family's 1533-position model. The record is from RNAcentral.